UACGGAGGGGGCUAGCGUUGUUCGGAAUUACUGGGCGUAAAGCGCGCGUAGGCGGCUUUGUAAGUUAGAGGUGAAAGCCCGAAGCUCAACUUCGGAAUUGCCUUUAAGACUGCAUCGCUAGAAUUGUGGAGAAGUAAGUGGAAUUCCGAGUGUAGAGGUGAAAUUCGUAGAUAUUCGGAAGAACACCAGUGGCGAAGGCGACUUACUGGACACAUAUUGACGCUGAGGUGCGAAAGCGUGGGGAGCAAACAGG
This 253-nucleotide ribosomal RNA is filed under the name uncultured bacterium. Its description in RNAcentral is "partial 16S ribosomal RNA". It matches the Rfam family "Bacterial small subunit ribosomal RNA", at positions 524 to 776 of the family's 1533-position model. The record is from RNAcentral.